Molecule: ribosomal RNA, 272 nt
Filed under: uncultured Syntrophaceae bacterium
Lineage: Bacteria; Pseudomonadati; Thermodesulfobacteriota; Syntrophia; Syntrophales; Syntrophaceae
Description: partial 16S ribosomal RNA
Rfam family: Bacterial small subunit ribosomal RNA
Source: RNAcentral
CUUUAAUUGUCCAUCAUUUAGUUGGGCACUUUAAGAGACUGCCGGUGUUAAGCCGGAGGAAGGUGGGGAUGACGUCAAGUCCUCAUGGCCUUUAUGCCCAGGGCUACACACGUGCUACAAUGGGCGGUACAAAGAGAAGCAACCUCGCGAGGGUGAGCAAAUCUCAAAAAGCCGUUCUCAGUUCGGAUUGAAGUCUGCAACUCGACUUCAUGAAGUCGGAAUCGCUAGUAAUCGCGGAUCAGCAUGCCGCGGUGAAUACGUUCCCGGGCCUU